AGUCUCUCCCACUGCCCGGGUAUCUCCUUGAGGGCCAAGAUCCCCCCCUCAUUCAUCCUGACACUCCCAGGGCCCAGCCUGGCAGCCCUACGACAGGAGUCCAAUAAAUGUGUGUGGGUGAAAUGAAAGCCAAUCCUGAGAGACGUCACAGCAAUCUCCCCUGGACCCUGGGCCCAGGCCGAGACCCGUCCAAGGCCAGAGGCUGUCGUCAGCACACCCUCCCCUCCCCCAUACCUACCGGGACCAUGCAGGUGUGCUUGGGCAAGGCGCCCCCUCCGCAGGCCUGGUGCCUCAGGGCUAACAUGGAUAACUAUGGGCUCUGCUCCAAGGUGGUUAUGAAGACCAAGUGAGGCAAAACACACCCCACGCAGAACCUCGACACCAAUGAGGGGAGCCCCCUCCAAUGGCAGCAAGGGGUUGGGGUUCACUCUGGAUCCCCGCCCCAUCCAGCAGGUACCCACCUCCAUCGUGUAUGUCUUGCCAGCACCCGUCUGGCCGUAGGCGAAGAUGCAGACGUUGAAGCCGUCGAUGCAGGAGGUGAUCAGGGCCUGCACCUCCUGGAACACCUGCAGAGGGGACGUGGGAUGGAGGGUGGGUCCAGGGGCCCCCACCAGCCACCUCCCCCUGACUGCUCCCCUCCCCUAAUACGGCACCUGUCAUCGUGGGCAACCAGCUCACUGUGGAGGAAUCUGUGACUAAUAAGUCACUUCCACUAGGCGUUAGUGGGCAGCCUCAUUGCCGAAAGACUGAAGGCAAGUCAGGGCAGUAAUUACUGCCCACCAGCACCUGAGGAAGGGGCCACCCAGCCCAGGAACUCAGGAGCCCUCCCCCAGCUUCUCCCCCUCUCAAGAGGUGAAAAGAGAGGGACCGUGGGGCACUGGGCUUCUCCAUCCUGUCUGCCCUCCCUUAUACUUAUUUUUGUCCAGCUCCCAACAUCUCUCCCUCUACAGGUGAGGUACUGCGAACAGGCCCAUUUUACAGAGGAAGAAACUGAGCCCUAGAGAGGCUAAGCCAAUCUCAAGGUUGCCCUGCAGAUGAGUAAAGAGCCGGGACUCAGCCCUCACUCCACAGCACCAGCACUUGACUACAUGAUUCAGCUGGACCCAAAUCCCAGCUCUGCCCUGAGGACCUGGGGGACCAGAAGCAACUGGCUCAACGUAUUCAAGCCUCAAUCUUCUCAUCUGUAAAAUGGGGAUAACAACAUCUAACUCGUGGAUUUGUAGGAGCUGGUAGGUAAAGAUCUCCAAGUUACAUUUCAUAAGGAAAAGAAACAAGAUGCAAGCCACACAUACACCUGCUCCCCUUUAUUGGGUGAAAGGGAAGUGCGUGUCCAUGUACAUAUAUGUCAACAGUUUUCAGCAUGCUCAGAACACCCUUUGGGGGAAAUGCUGGGAGACAGGCCUCCUUUGGGGAGCAGGCUGGGUGGCAGAAAGAAGCCUUUCCUUUUCAUCUGAAUGCCCUUCUGGGAGAGCUGUCAUACAGAUUCGAGGAGCCGACGGCUAUAAAAGGCUCAGCACGUAGGAGGCACUUAAGAGACAUUGGCUAUUCUCAUACUGCACAAGUACAGCUUAAGAAAUUAAAUUAAACCUAACAGAUCUAAGGAUACGUGUAGCAUGUUUGAGAUACA
This is a long non-coding RNA of Lagenorhynchus albirostris (white-beaked dolphin), 1627 nucleotides long. RefSeq lists it as uncharacterized. The record is from RefSeq and is a predicted model, not a curated record. NCBI's taxonomy places the organism in Eukaryota, Metazoa, Chordata, Mammalia, Artiodactyla, Delphinidae. The transcript has 4 exons.